UGCCUUAGUAACGGCGAGUGAAGCGGCAAAAGCUCAAAUUUGAAAUCGGCCACCAGGUCGAGUUGUAAUUUGUAGAUUGUAUCUUGAGAGCGGAUUAAAGUCUGUUGGAACACAGCGCCUUAGAGGGUGACAGCCCCGUAAAAUCUAUUCUCAUUGUAAGAUACUUUCGAAGAGUCGAGUUGUUUGGGAAUGCAGCUCUAAGUGGGAGGUAAAUUCCUUCUAAAGCUAAAUAUUGACGAGAGACCGAUAGCGAACAAGUACUGUGAAGGAAAGAUGAAAAGCACUUUGAAAAGAGAGUGAAAAAGUACGUGAAAUUGUUAAAAGGGAAGGGUAUUGAAUCAGACUUGGUGCUGUUGUUCAACUGUGUUUCGGCAUAGUGUACUCAGCAGUACUAGGCCAAGGUGGGGUGUUUGGGAGUGAAAAAGAAGUUGGAACGUAACUCUUCGGAGUGUUAUAGCCUACUUUCAUAGCUCCUCAGGCGCCUCAGGACUGCGCUUCGGCAAGGACCUUGGCAUAAUGAUUCUAUACCGC
RNAcentral lists this ribosomal RNA (531 nucleotides) under Geotrichum candidum. RNAcentral's name for it is "eukaryotic LSU rRNA". It matches the Rfam family "Eukaryotic large subunit ribosomal RNA", at positions 76 to 648 of the family's 3401-position model. The record is from RNAcentral. Lineage: Eukaryota; Fungi; Ascomycota; Dipodascomycetes; Dipodascales; Dipodascaceae.